AUACGUAGGGGGCGAGCGUUGUCCGGAAUUACUGGGCGUAAAGGGUGCGUAGGUGCCACUUUAAGUUGGAUGUGAAAUCCCCGUGCUUAACAUGGGAGCUGCAUCCAAUACUGAGAGCUAGAGUGCAGGAGAGGUAAGCGGAAUUCCUAGUGUAGCGGUGAAAUGCGUAGAUAUUAGGAGGAACACCAGUGGCGAAGGCGGCUUACUGGACUGUAACUGACACUGAGGCACGAAAGCGUGGGGAGCAAACAGGAUUAGAUACCCUGGUAGUCCACGCUGUAAACGAUGAAUACUAGGUGUAGGGGGUAUCAACUCCCUCUGUGCCGCAGCAAACGCAAUAAGUAUUCCGCCUGGGGAGUACGGCCGCAAGGUUGAAACUCAAAUGAAUUGGCGGGG
This 396-nucleotide ribosomal RNA is filed under the name uncultured bacterium. Its description in RNAcentral is "partial 16S ribosomal RNA". It matches the Rfam family "Bacterial small subunit ribosomal RNA", at positions 523 to 918 of the family's 1533-position model. The record is from RNAcentral.